Molecule: ribosomal RNA, 603 nt
Filed under: Triticum aestivum (bread wheat)
Lineage: Eukaryota; Viridiplantae; Streptophyta; Magnoliopsida; Poales; Poaceae
Description: partial small subunit ribosomal RNA
Source: RNAcentral
AUGUGGCAAUGGAUCCGCGGACGGAUUCCGUCUGGCGUAGAGGUCCGCAAGCGCAAUGGCUCCGGUACCGGCCUUUUCCCGCUUUGUGGCGUCCCUGAAGACUCGAAUCACAUCUUCUUCACUUGCGUGUCCGUCCAAUUUAUUUGGGGCUGUUUUCGUGAGGUGGUUGGUGGCAACUGGUGCCACACCAAUUUCCCCGACAUGUUCGCUGAACUCCAGGCCUCCUCCCCGCAUUCUCGCCACAUUAGGUCGCUGGAGAUUGGGACUCUUGCUUGGACCCUCUGGACGAUCCGCAAUAGAUUUGUGAUCCAGCGCAUUCCGCUUCGGCGUGCUACUGACACUCUCUUCAAACUGUCUGGUUACUUGCAGCUCUGGCAGCCGCUUAGCCGCCCCAGGAUCGGGACGCCAUCUCUGCCUUCAUCGCCGACCUCCGCUCGAUGGCCGUCCACUUAUCGCCGACGCUCCCUCCGCCACCUCCCGAGCCGGAUUAGGGGUCGGGUCCCUCCCCGGCCCCAUUUUGUGUUUAUUUUGGGCUUGUUGAGCUGUGCCCUCAGCAAAACCUUUUGUACUCUGUCUUGUGAGAGUUGUGUGUGUGUGGUGUGA